RNAcentral lists this ribosomal RNA (253 nucleotides) under uncultured bacterium. RNAcentral's name for it is "partial 16S ribosomal RNA". It matches the Rfam family "Bacterial small subunit ribosomal RNA", at positions 524 to 776 of the family's 1533-position model. The record is from RNAcentral.
UACGGAGGAUGCGAGCGUUGUUCGGAGUGACUGGGCGUAAAGAGCACGUAGGCGGUGUUGUAAGUCAUUAGUCAAAGACUAGAGCUCAACUUUAGUAAGGCUAGUGAUACUAUAAUACUAGAGUAUCAGAGAGGAUUGCAGAAUUCCUGGUGUAGCGGUGAAAUGCGUAGAUAUCACACAGAACACCGAUUGCGAAGGCAUCUCACGAAUCCGCGAUUGACGCUGAUGCACGAAAGCGUGGGUAUCAAACAGG